ACGGGUGAGUAACGCGUGGGAAUCUACCCAUCUCUACGGAAUAACGCAUGGAAACGUGUGCUAAUACCGUAUACGUCCUUCGGGAGAAAGAUUUAUCGGAGAUGGAUGAGCCCGCGUUGGAUUAGCUAGUUGGUGGGGUAAAGGCCUACCAAGGCGACGAUCCAUAGCUGGUCUGAGAGGAUGAUCAGCCACACUGGGACUGAGACACGGCCCAGACUCCUACGGGAGGCAGCAGUGGGGAAUAUUGGACAAUGGGCGCAAGCCUGAUCCAGCCAUGCCGCGUGAGUGAUGUAGGCCCUAGGGUUGUAAAGCUCUUUCACCGGUGAAGAUAAUGACGGUAACCGGAGAAGAAGCCCCGGCUAACUUCGUGCCAGCAGCCGCGGUAAUACGAAGGGGGCUAGCGUUGUUCGGAUUUACUGGGCGUAAAGCGCACGUAGGCGGACUAUUAAGUCAGGGGUGAAAUCCCGGGGCUCAACCCCGGAACUGCCUUUGAUACUGGUAGUCUUGAGUUCGAGAGAGGUGAGUGGAAUUCCGAGUGUAGAGGUGAAAUUCGUAGA
RNAcentral lists this ribosomal RNA (557 nucleotides) under uncultured bacterium. Its description in RNAcentral is "bacterial SSU rRNA". It matches the Rfam family "Bacterial small subunit ribosomal RNA", at positions 102 to 694 of the family's 1533-position model. The record is from RNAcentral.